GCCAUUUGCCUGUUUGGAUUUUGAACCAACACUUAAGCUCCAAGAAAUUUAAAGUAACAGGCUAUAUACUCACCUCGGAAGAUCUGGAGCAGGAACCACGGCUGAGAGAGAACAUGCAGGAAACAGGGAUUCUCUGUAUAGCCCUGCUGUCCUGGAACUCAUGCUGCAGAUGAGGCUGACCCUUGAAGUGAGAGAGCUGCUUGCCCCUGCCUUCUUACUGCUGAGAUUAAAGGUCUGUGUAUCAUUUUUGAGAUAAACUCAGUGUAAACUAUAAGGCAAAGACAUGUUCGAAUUUAAUCUACAUAUAACACCCAGCAUGGAGAGAAUCAGAAACCAAGAGCAUGGUGUACUCAGUCUAACCCACAGGUUAUGCAGGAGGCAGGGCUGACACAGCGACCUCCUCAUGUGGAAUCACCCGGAACCAUUUCUGUUCCAGCUCUUCUGUUUUUUGGCAAGUGCAUCAGAACAUCCUCUAUCCUGUGUCUGCCUCAGCGAAACAUUUCCUCAUGAGUCGGCCUUAGCCUUUCACACCUGUGUCCACUUCAACCAAACAUUCUUUCACGUGUUUGCCUCCGCAAAACACCAUCCAACUGACUUUCCAAAGAACCCACAAGUUUCUCCUUCAAAGAGUUCCAAGAAUGAGCAGAUAUUCAAGUACCUGCAAGAAUACCCUAGAGCCUCCGACAAGGACCGACUGCAGCAAAACUACAGGUUAGAAAGGUCUUGGUUUAGUUCAAAGUUCAGUGCAUGUAGAGGCUAUCUAGCAGUGGAGGGUAUCCAAUGAAAUAUAGGGAAGUUGGCAAGAGUCAGACUGUAUAGAGCCAGAUGAAAAGCUACUUGACCAGAGUAAGGAAUUGGCUAGCUGCUUGAUUCUAACACCAGAUUAGAGAUAGUGUCUGAAAAGCAAAUUAGGAAAAGUGAAGCAGACCACUGCUGCCAGAUUGUGUUGUUCAAAGAAACUUUGGAAGAGCUAAAGAUUAAGAGAUAGCCCCAGGGCAAAGCAUGCAACCUGGGAAUUUGUGGUCAUACCAGGAAGGAUUUUCUCUCUGGGCAAUGAAAUAGUGCAGCACGGGGCAGGGAAAUAUGGCAGUGAGUCACCCAGUGUAUGGGCUGGUUUGAGAUGAGUAAGGUGUGGGUGGGUGUGAGAGGCAAGAUGGAGGAAGCAGAAAAUCUGUCCUUCUCGAAGGUUCCCCGAGGAGCACAUUGGGAUGUUAGCAGUGUAUGAUACAUUCCCAAUGGAUUUAAGCAAAUGUGAACAUUUGAUAAUAAUAAGCAAACAACAAUAGCAGUACCUUGGCUCCUCCUAUAGGUUGAUUUGUAUUCUCUGGAAAUAUCUAUUGAAGUCCUAAUUCCCAGUACCUCAAAAAAAAAAAAAGUUACUUUAGUUGGGAAAAGAGUUUCAAAUGUUACUAGUCAAAUUAAGAUGACUUCAUACUAAUGUAUUGGGGGCCCUUUUCCUAGUGAGGUACGUAUCUGUGCAGGUAGAGGAAACUUGAACACAGAGACGCAGUGGGAAGAUGGCCACAAGAAUGUGCAAGGACACAUAGAGGGAAAGCAGCGAUUGGUGUGCUAUACUUAUCAGCCAGAGAAUGUCAAGGAUUGAUGGUCAUGAUGGGAACCUCGUGAGAGGCUGAAAAAAAAGAUGCCCUCAGAAAGUCACAGUGUGGACAGCACUCAGGCGUCUUUAUUCCCAGCUCCGGGACAGGAAGUUUCUGGGAUUUUAGUAAUCCAGUUUCAGCAGCCCCAGAAACCUCACGCCUCUUACACUCUUCUAGCUUUUUCUCUAGAACACCAUGGCCUGUGAAAACCAGCUUUGCUUCUCUGCCCAAUAUUUCCCAACCCCCUUUAUAAAAAUAAUUAAAAUAUUUUAAUAAUUAAAAUAUUUCAAAACA
RNAcentral lists this long non-coding RNA (1892 nucleotides) under Mus musculus (house mouse). RNAcentral describes it as "predicted gene 12610". Lineage: Eukaryota; Metazoa; Chordata; Mammalia; Rodentia; Muridae. The record is from RNAcentral.